GCAUACGGCUCAGUAACACGUAGUCAAUCUAACCUAUGGACGUGGAUAACCUCGGGAAACUGAGAAUAAUCCGCGAUAGAUCAUAAUUCCUGGAAUGGUUUAUGGUCCAAAUGAUUCGUCGCCAUAGGAUGGGACUGCGGCCUAUCAGCUUGUUGGUGAGGUAAUGGCCCACCAAGGCGAUUACAGGUACGGGCUCUGAGAGGAGAAGCCCGGAGAUGGGUACUGAGACACGGACCCAGGCCCUAUGGGGCGCAGCAGGCGAGAAACCUUAGCAAUGUGCGAAAGCACGACUGGGUCAGUCCGAGUGAUUCCUGAUAAAGGAGUCUUUUGCUUGUCCUAAAAGCACAGGUGAAUAAGGGGUGGGCAAGUCUGGUGUCAGCCGCCGCGGUAAUACCAGCACCUCGAGUGGUCAGGACGUUUAUUGGGCCUAAAGCAUCCGUAGCCGGCUUUGCAAGUCUUCGGUUAAAUCCACCUGCUCAACAGAUGGGCCGCUGGAGAUACUACAGAGCUAGGGAGUGGGAGAGGCAGACGGUAUUCAGUGGGUAGGGGUAAAAUCCUCUGAUCCAUUGAGGACCACCAGUGGCGAAGGCGGUCUGCCAGAACACGUUCGACGGUGAGGGAUGAAAGCUGGGGGAGCAAACCGGAUUAGAUACCCGGGUAGUCCCAGCUGUAAACGAUGCAAACUCGGUGAUGCAUUGGCUUAUGGCCA
This 709-nucleotide ribosomal RNA is filed under the name uncultured archaeon. Its description in RNAcentral is "bacterial SSU rRNA". It matches the Rfam family "Archaeal small subunit ribosomal RNA", at positions 81 to 792 of the family's 1478-position model. The record is from RNAcentral.